Molecule: small RNA, 515 nt
Filed under: Histoplasma capsulatum var. duboisii H88
Lineage: Eukaryota; Fungi; Ascomycota; Eurotiomycetes; Onygenales; Ajellomycetaceae
Description: Histoplasma capsulatum H88 hypothetical RNA
Source: RNAcentral
AACAAGAGUUUAUGACGUUUCUCAACAGUAUCUAUCUCUUCACUUUCUCAUCUUUUGUUUUCAUAAACAAAAGACAUAGGUGUUCUAUUAAGAGAGGUACAGUACAGCACAUUCAAAUAUUUCCAGAACCAUGUAAUGAAUAUUUUUGAUUGAAAUUUGGUUAAUGUUUUAACUGCCACGGUUACUUGAGGAUGGCACAUACAUCUCCUCCACAAUCUUUUGAAAUCAUCUAGCAUGCGUAAGCCAUAUGAGAAUCGCCUCUCUCAAUAUUGCACGGAGUGAACUUUUUUCAUCAACAGUAUUUAGUCAAGUAUUGUGACUUUGGGAGGACUGUGAUGUUUCCUUUUCCUGUAUAUAAACUUGCUGUCCCUGACUUAAGAUGGAAUUGCUCAGAGCUACUCAAAGGGCUGAUUGUGGAUUGAUUGCAUCAGCAUCUGCUGCUGCUCAUAGAGAAUCAGACAACUACAUCAAUGAUGCAGUCCAUCGGAAGUGAGAUGUUGUUUAUAUCGAUAUCC